UACAGUGACCUCGAGCGUUAUCCGGAUUUAUUGGGCGUAGAGGGUCCGUAGGGGGCUGGGUAAGCCAAUCGUAAAAUCUACGAGCUCAACUCGUACUUGGCGUUUGGAACUGCCCGGAUAGAGCACGUCAGAGGUCAUUGGAACUCACGGUGUAGGGGUAAAAUCCGUUGAUAUCGUGGGGAACACCAAAGGCGAAGGCAUUUGACUGGGGCGUUGCUGACCCUGAGGGACGAAAGCUUGGGUAGCGAAUGGG
RNAcentral lists this ribosomal RNA (253 nucleotides) under uncultured bacterium. RNAcentral's name for it is "partial 16S ribosomal RNA". It matches the Rfam family "Bacterial small subunit ribosomal RNA", at positions 524 to 776 of the family's 1533-position model. The record is from RNAcentral.